GGGGAAUCUUGCGCAAUGCGCGAAAGCGUGACGCAGCAACGCCGCGUGCGGGAAGACGGCCUUCGGGUUGUAAACCGCUUUCAGUUGGGACGAAGCUUCGCCGGUUAAUAGCCGGCCGGAGUGACGGUACCUUCACAAGAAGCCCCGGCUAACUACGUGCCAGCAGCCGCGGUAAUACGUAGGGGGCAAGCGUUGUCCGGAAUCAUUGGGCGUAAAGCGCGUGUAGGCGGCUUCGUCAGUCCGUUGUGAAAGUCCAGGGCUCAACCCUGGAAUGCCGAUGGAUACUGCGGAGCUCGAGUCCGGAAGAGGCAAGUGGAAUUCCUGGUGUAGCGGUGAAAUGCGCAGAUAUCAGGAGGAACACCAAUGGCGAAGGCAGCUUGCUGGGACGGUACUGACGCUGAGACGCGAAAGCGUGGGGAGCAAACA
Molecule: ribosomal RNA, 426 nt
Filed under: uncultured Solirubrobacterales bacterium
Lineage: Bacteria; Bacillati; Actinomycetota; Thermoleophilia; Solirubrobacterales
Description: bacterial SSU rRNA
Rfam family: Bacterial small subunit ribosomal RNA
Source: RNAcentral